RNAcentral lists this ribosomal RNA (999 nucleotides) under uncultured Nanohalarchaeota archaeon. RNAcentral's name for it is "bacterial SSU rRNA". It matches the Rfam family "Archaeal small subunit ribosomal RNA", at positions 187 to 1181 of the family's 1478-position model. Lineage: Archaea; Nanobdellati; Candidatus Nanohalarchaeota. The record is from RNAcentral.
GAAACGUUCCGACGCCAUAGGAUGGGGCCGCGGCUGAUUAGGUUGUUGGUGAGGUAACGGCUCACCAAGCCGAUAAUCAGUAGCAGCCGUGAGAGCGGGAGCUGCCAGUCGGCUUCUGAGACAAGAAGCCGGGCCCUACGGGGUGCAGCAGGCACGAAACCUUCACAAUGCACGCAAGUGCGAUGGGGGGACUCCAAGUGUAGUCUUCCCACAAGGAAGGCUACUUUUCUGCACUGUAAGGAGGUGCCGGAACAAGGGGUGGGCAAUACUGCUGCCAGCCGCCGCGGUAAUAGCAGAACCCCGAGUGGUAGUCGUUAUUAUUGGGCUUAAAGUGUUCGUAGCCGGCCGUGCAAGUCCGCUGUGAAAUCCAGGCGCUUAACGUCUGGGCGUGCAGCGGAUACUGCACUGGCUAGGGACCGGACGGCGUCGAGGCUAUUCCAGGAGUAGGGGUGAAAUCCUAAAAUUCCUGGAGGAGCGCCUGUGGCGGAAGCGCUCGACGAGUACGGAUCCGACGGUGAGGAACGAAAGCCAGGGGAGCAAAGCGGAUUAGAUACCCGCGUAGUCCUGGCCGUUAACAUUGCCUGUUUGAUGUCAGCCAACCUUCGGGGUUGGCUGGUGCCGAAGUGAAAACGUUAAACAGGCCGCCUGGGUAGUACGGUCGCAAGGCUGAAACUUAAAGGAAUUGACGGGGGAGCACCACAACCGGUGGAGGCUGCGGUUUAAUUAGAUCAAACGCAGCGCACCCUACCAGAGCCGACAGCAGAAUGACGGUCAGCUUGAAGAGCUUACCUGACGCGCUGAGAGGAGCUGCAUGGCCGCCGUCAGCUCGUGCUGUGAAGUGUCCGGUUAAGUCCGGUAACGAGCGAGACCCGCAUCCAAUGUUGCCACGGAGCCGCUUGACGGUUUCGGCACUCGUUGGAGACCGCUGGCGAUAAGUCAGAGGAAGGAGCGGGCCACGGUAGGUCAGUAUGGCCCGAAUGCUCUGGGAUACACGCGGCC